GUGCUGGAGACAGAGUCUGAGGAGAGCUGGACUUGGUUUUUGCAUAAUCUCCGUCGGGCUAUUGCACAUCCCAAUGGGUUGGUCAUUCAUACAGAUGCCUGCGAAGGUUUAGAAGUGGUCGUGGACAAUGUGUUCCCUGGAGUAGAGCAUAGGAAAUGCAUGCGUCACCUUGCUGCAAAUUUCAUGAAGAAAUUCAAAGGAAAGGUGUAUACCGACAAUUUAUGGCUAGCAUCUUUGACAUGCAGUGUGAAGAAGCACAACUACCACUUGAGGCAGUUAUACAUGAAUCCCAAAGUGAAAGAAUACUUGGAAACACACCACUCCAAGUUAUGGGCCAGAAGCCAAUUCAGUGAAGUGAGCAAAGUUGACUAUGUGCACAAUAAUCUAGCAGAGUCUUUCAACUCAACAAUACGGAAA
RNAcentral lists this ribosomal RNA (417 nucleotides) under Triticum aestivum (bread wheat). RNAcentral describes it as "partial small subunit ribosomal RNA". Lineage: Eukaryota; Viridiplantae; Streptophyta; Magnoliopsida; Poales; Poaceae. The record is from RNAcentral.